UACGAAGGGGGCUAGCGUUGUUCGGAAUUACUGGGCGUAAAGCGCACGCAGGCGGAUCGAUAAGUCAGGGGUGAAAGUCCAGGGCUCAACCCUGGGAUGCCGGUCGAUACUGCCGGACUAGAGUUCGGAAGAGGCGAGUGGAAUUCCCGGUGUAGCGGUGAAAUGCGCAGAUAUCGGGAGGAACACCUAUGGCGAAGGCAGCUCGCUGGGCCUGUACUGACGCUCAUGCACGAAAGCGUGGGGAGCAAAAGGG
RNAcentral lists this ribosomal RNA (253 nucleotides) under uncultured bacterium. RNAcentral's name for it is "partial 16S ribosomal RNA". It matches the Rfam family "Bacterial small subunit ribosomal RNA", at positions 524 to 776 of the family's 1533-position model. The record is from RNAcentral.